GCGCUCGUAGCUUAAUGGAUAGAGCAUCUGACUACGGAUCAGAAGGUUGGAAGUUCGAGUCUUCCCGAGCGCGCCA
Molecule: transfer RNA, 76 nt
Filed under: Oxalobacteraceae bacterium
Lineage: Bacteria; Pseudomonadati; Pseudomonadota; Betaproteobacteria; Burkholderiales; Oxalobacteraceae
Also listed under: 5 other names
Description: tRNA-Arg
Rfam family: tRNA
About the family: Transfer RNA (tRNA) molecules are approximately 80 nucleotides in length. Their secondary structure includes four short double-helical elements and three loops (D, anti-codon, and T loops).
Source: RNAcentral